GUUNUAAAGAAAAUUUAAUUUUAAGUCCAAUCUGCCCAAUGAUUAUAUUUAAUGGCUGCAGUAUCUCUAACUGUACAAAGGUAGCAUAAUAAUUUGUUUUUUAAUUAAAAACUAGAAUGAAAGAUUAAAUGAAAUAAAAACUGUUUCAAUUAAAUUUAAUUAAAUUUUUUAUUUAAGUAAAAAAACUUAAAUUUUAUAUAAAGACGAUAAGACCCUAAAGAAUUUUAUUUAUUUAAUUAAAAUAUUUUUAACUAAAUAAAUUUAAUUGGGGUAAUUAAAAAAUUAAAUAAAUUUUUUUUUAAUAAAACAUUUAUAAAUGAAUUUUAUAUCUUAAUUUUUAAAUUAAAAAUAUUAAUUACCUUAGGGAUAACAGCAUAAUUUUUUUUGAGAGUUCUUAUUUAUAAAAAAGAUUAU
RNAcentral lists this ribosomal RNA (414 nucleotides) under Bracon intercessor. RNAcentral describes it as "partial 16S ribosomal RNA". Lineage: Eukaryota; Metazoa; Arthropoda; Insecta; Hymenoptera; Braconidae. The record is from RNAcentral.